AAUGUUUUUUUUUUAGCCAUUUUGGUUCCGGACUCCGCUACCGUCAACCACAUCCCUUUCGUGGUAAUAUAACUUUUACGGUACUGCUGAUUCAACGAAACAAUACCAGAAGAAAUCUUAGCUGGAAUUCUGUCUAGACUGCCUGUAUGGCAAAGAGUUGAGAUAUGGAUGUAGCUGUAUACAAGAGAGAUGAAAAAAUACUCAUGCCAACUCUGGUUCCUAAUCCCGAUGAAGCAGUAGUUGAAUUGUAUGCACUGAUUCAAAGAGCUGACAUUUAUGCUGAGGCUCUAAUCUCGCCCUGUCGCUAUGGAGGGAGAGGUUAAUUCGUGUUUCUUUCUUCUUCUGUUUGUCUUAUUGAGUACAGUUAUUUAGUGUUGUCAAUAUUUCUAGCAAAUUAUAAAUGUUACUAUUUGUUUUGAAAUAUCAAAAUGCUACGGGUUACAUCGAGUAUAUACUGCAAGUAAUUCAAGAUUCAAUAGUGUAAUUUGUCUACUUACAUUGAAUUGUACAUCUCUAUACUCUCUCCUAGUCUGCUUCCUUUCCCUAAUUACUUAUAUUAGCUUUAUGAAGCUUCUUUUUAUGUCAA
Molecule: long non-coding RNA, 586 nt
Organism: Lycium barbarum (goji berry)
Lineage: Eukaryota; Viridiplantae; Streptophyta; Magnoliopsida; Solanales; Solanaceae
Exons: 2
Source: RefSeq, a predicted model, not a curated record